CGUGCAUGCAGGGGACAGCGUGCAUCCAGCAUUCAUCCAGGGACAGCGUGCAUCCAGGGGACAGCGUGCACCCAGGGGACAGCUUGUGCCUGGGGGACAGCAUGUGUCCAGAGGGCCAGCCCUGUCCCUGCCACUUCCCUCCAGAGCUCCCACUGUGACAGCAAGGCAGGUGACAAGCCCCCGGCAUCCCCCCUGUGGACGCGGCGAUGGCACUGGCUCUGCUGCGCCACCCUGUCCUCACCGCUCAGCGCACCCGAGCCCCCACGCAGGGACACGGUGUGUCCCCACGCUGUCACCCCGAGGACGUGCAGACCCUGGUGCUUCUGGACAUCUCCAGCCCAGCCUUGGCCAUGGCUUGGCCUCACCUCCACGGCCACAGUCCUGCUUUUGGGACAUCCCCAUCCCUCGGGGGCUGCAGGGACGGGGGGCACCGGCGGGCAGCCUCGCAGCUCCGCAGGCUUUGUACCAUUUUGCUUUAUCGGGGACUUUCCCCCCCCCCCCCCCCCCUUUAUCGCUGUAAAUUUCUCUUCUGCUACAUUACAGGCGAAGAACAAAUGAAGCACCCGAGCCGGGCGGGCAGUGCUCGUCCAGAGGUACUUACGCAAAUCGUUAGCGCGUUAAUGACUGCGCCAGCAGCCGCUGCAGGUGGCCGGGCAGCAAUAAGGAAGACCCCGGGCGCGCGGAGGACGUUCAUUUAGUGCCGGAUUAAAUAAAAGAGUAAUAGGCAACAUCCGCGGGCAGCGGGACGAGUUGUGCCUCGCUCACCUCCGUGCUGGCCGGGCUGCGGCUGCAAGAGGGGAUUUCUGCCACCCAGCACCAUCCAGCCCCUCGUGGGGCCGGGGGUGGCCCCCAAGUGACAGCGGAGCUGAGGUCUCACUGCUGGCACCAGCACUUAGCGGCCCACAAGUACACAAGCUCCCAGCGAUCUGGAAACCCGGAGGGCUGCACGUGCCCCCUGCGAGGCGAAGCCUCAUCCCUCUGCCACCGAGGUCCCCGGCGGGGCAGGCUGUCGGCGAGGGGUGGCUCCGGUGACAGCGGUGACCUCGGCGCUGGGUGGCCCGUGGCAGGGCGCAGGAGCGAGCUGGGGUCGCUGGAGAGGAUGCUCGGGGCGCACUUCCUCGGUGCUGUCCCAGCAGCGCUGCACGCCCACGGAGCAGCUGCGGAGCGGGCACGCAUCCGGCACUCCAAGGAGCCCCAGGAAUGUGGCCUGACCGCAUCCUGAAGCCGCCAAAUUCUCAGCGCGCCGCACCUCGGAGAUGCCAGGUCCUGGCUGAUGGGGGAAGCCCUGAGAUCCCACGGGCUGUCCCCAAGGGGGGACGGUGGAAAUGCAGAGCUUUGCCCACCGGGACCAGAGCAGGGAGCAGCAGGAAGGGGCACCAGCACCCCGAGGAUCUGAGCACAGCGCCAGGGCGCUGACACCGAGAUCCUCGGCAGCAGGCAGGAGGCGCGGCGGGGCGGAGAGGAAACGCACGGUUACCCCUGGCUCUCCUGGGAGUUGUCCUUGAAUAAAUGCAGCG
Long non-coding RNA from Cygnus olor (mute swan), 1517 nucleotides. RefSeq lists it as uncharacterized. The record is from RefSeq and is a predicted model, not a curated record. The transcript has 3 exons. Lineage: Eukaryota; Metazoa; Chordata; Aves; Anseriformes; Anatidae.